UACAGAGGGUGCGAGCGUUGUCCGGAAUCACUGGGCGUAAAGGGCGCGUAGGCGGUCUCUUAAGCGUGUGGUGAAAGCCCGGAGCUCAACUCCGGGUCGGCCAUGCGAACUGGGAGACUGGAGCUUGUCAGAGGCAGGCGGAGUUCCGGGUGUAGCGGUGGAAUGCGUAGAGAUCCGGAAGAACACCGGUGGCGAAGGCGGCCUGCUGGGACAGUGCUGACGCUGAGGCGCGACAGCGUGGGGAGCAAACAGG
RNAcentral lists this ribosomal RNA (253 nucleotides) under uncultured bacterium. RNAcentral describes it as "partial 16S ribosomal RNA". It matches the Rfam family "Bacterial small subunit ribosomal RNA", at positions 524 to 776 of the family's 1533-position model. The record is from RNAcentral.